This 1003-nucleotide ribosomal RNA is filed under the name bacterium y-b-3. RNAcentral describes it as "bacterial SSU rRNA". It matches the Rfam family "Bacterial small subunit ribosomal RNA", at positions 36 to 1032 of the family's 1533-position model. The record is from RNAcentral.
CCUGUACAGCUAUCAAACAUGCGUAUCGGGUGACCGUAAGAGAGCUUGCUCUCGGGUGACGAGCGGCGGACGGGUGAGUAAUGUCUGGGAAACUGCCUGAUGGAGGGGGAUAACUACUGGAAACGGUAGCUAAUACCGCAUAACGUCGCAAGACCAAAGUGGGGGACCUUCGGGCCUCAUGCCAUCAGAUGUGCCCAGAUGGGAUUAGCUAGUAGGUGGGGUAACGGCUCACCUAGGCGACGAUCCCUAGCUGGUCUGAGAGGAUGACCAGCCACACUGGAACUGAGACACGGUCCAGACUCCUACGGGAGGCAGCAGUGGGGAAUAUUGCACAAUGGGCGCAAGCCUGAUGCAGCCAUGCCGCGUGUGUGAAGAAGGCCUUCGGGUUGUAAAGCACUUUCAGCGGGGAGGAAGGCGUUAAGGUUAAUAACCUUGUCGAUUGACGUUACCCGCAGAAGAAGCACCGGCUAACUCCGUGCCAGCAGCCGCGGUAAUACGGAGGGUGCAAGCGUUAAUCGGAAUUACUGGGCGUAAAGCGCACGCAGGCGGUCUGUCAAGUCGGAUGUGAAAUCCCCGGGCUCAACCUGGGAACUGCAUUCGAAACUGGCAGGCUAGAGUCUUGUAGAGGGGGGUAGAAUUCCAGGUGUAGCGGUGAAAUGCGUAGAGAUCUGGAGGAAUACCGGUGGCGAAGGCGGCCCCCUGGACAAAGACUGACGCUCAGGUGCGAAAGCGUGGGGAGCAAACAGGAUUAGAUACCCUGGUAGUCCACGCCGUAAACGAUGUCGAUUUGGAGGUUGUGCCCUUGAGGCGUGGCUUCCGGAGCUAACGCGUUAAAUCGACCGCCUGGGGAGUACGGCCGCAAGGUUAAAACUCAAAUGAAUUGACGGGGGCCCGCACAAGCGGUGGAGCAUGUGGUUUAAUUCGAUGCAACGCGAAGAACCUUACCUGGUCUUGACAUCCACAGAACUUUCCAGAGAUGGAUUGGUGCCUUCGGGAACUGUGA